GGUUGUGGCUCAGUGGUACAGUGCUUGCCUAGCAUGCAUGAGGCACUGGGUUCAAUCUCCAGCACCA
RNAcentral lists this transfer RNA (67 nucleotides) under Marmota monax (woodchuck). RNAcentral describes it as "tRNA.Ala". It matches the Rfam family "tRNA". From Rfam's summary of the family: Transfer RNA (tRNA) molecules are approximately 80 nucleotides in length. Their secondary structure includes four short double-helical elements and three loops (D, anti-codon, and T loops). The record is from RNAcentral. Lineage: Eukaryota; Metazoa; Chordata; Mammalia; Rodentia; Sciuridae.